This 330-nucleotide ribosomal RNA is filed under the name uncultured eukaryote. RNAcentral describes it as "partial 18S ribosomal RNA". It matches the Rfam family "Eukaryotic small subunit ribosomal RNA", at positions 1470 to 1796 of the family's 1831-position model. The record is from RNAcentral.
CCCUUAGAUGUUCGGGGCCGCACGCGCGCUACACUGAAGGAAUCAGCACGUCUUUCUCCUUGUCCGAAAGGACUAGGUAACCCGCUGAACCUCCUUCGUGCUAGGGAUUGGGGCUUGUAAUUCUUCCCCAUGAACGAGGAAUUCCCAGUAAGCGCGAGUCAUAAGCUCGCGUUGAUUACGUCCCUGCCCUUUGUACACACCGCCCGUCGCUACUACCGAUUGGAUGGUUUAGUGAGAUCCUCGGAUUGGUCCCGGCGCGGCCUCUGGUCGUGCCGGAGUGCCGAAAAGAAUGUCGAACUUGAUCAUCUAGAGGAAGUAAAAGUCGUAACA